Molecule: transfer RNA, 76 nt
Filed under: Clostridiales bacterium
Lineage: Bacteria; Bacillati; Bacillota; Clostridia; Eubacteriales
Description: tRNA-Lys
Rfam family: tRNA
About the family: Transfer RNA (tRNA) molecules are approximately 80 nucleotides in length.
Source: RNAcentral
GACCCAGUAGCUCAGUAGGCAGAGCACCUGCCUUUUAAGCAGGGUGUCCGGAGUUCGAAUCUCCGCUGGGUCACCA